RNAcentral lists this ribosomal RNA (472 nucleotides) under uncultured bacterium. RNAcentral describes it as "bacterial SSU rRNA". It matches the Rfam family "Bacterial small subunit ribosomal RNA", at positions 355 to 825 of the family's 1533-position model. The record is from RNAcentral.
UGGGGAAUCUUGGACAAUGGGGGAAACCCUGAUCCAGCGAUGCCGCGUGUGUGAAGAAGGCCUUAGGGUUGUAAAGCACUUUAAUGAGGGAGGAUUAGGAUGCGUUGAAUAGACGUGUCUGAGGACGUUACCUCAAGAAUAAGCACCGGCUAACUCUGUGCCAGCAGCCGCGGUAAUACAGAGGGUGCGAGCGUUAAUCGGAAUUACUGGGCGUAAAGCGCGCGUAGGUGGUUAGUUAAGUUGGAUGUGAAAUCCCCGGGCUCAACCUGGGAACUGCAUUCAAAACUGACUGACUAGAGUAUGGUAGAGGGUGGUGGAAUUUCCUGUGUAGCGGUGAAAUGCGUAGAUAUAGGAAGGAACACCAGUGGCGAAGGCGACCACCUGGACUGAUACUGACACUGAGGUGCGAAAGCGUGGGGAGCAAACAGGAUUAGAUACCCAGGUAGUCCCUGAGCGGGCUGGCAAGGCGCAU